RNAcentral lists this ribosomal RNA (403 nucleotides) under uncultured bacterium. RNAcentral's name for it is "bacterial SSU rRNA". It matches the Rfam family "Bacterial small subunit ribosomal RNA", at positions 362 to 757 of the family's 1533-position model. The record is from RNAcentral.
UUUUGGACAAUGGGGGCAACCCUGAUCCAGCCAUUCCGCGUGAGUGAAGAAGGCCUUCGGGUUGUAAAGCUCUUUCGCGAGCCAAGAAAACUUAUGAUCGAAUAAAUCAUGAGGUUUACGGUACCUUGAUAAGAAGCACCGGCUAACUACGUGCCAGCAGCCGCGGUAAUACGUAGGGUGCGAGCGUUAAUCGGAAUUACUGGGCGUAAAGCGUGCGCAGGCGGUUUUGUAAGUCGGAUGUGAAAUCCCCGGGCUCAACCUGGGAACUGCGUUCGAAACUGCAAGGCUAGAGUGUGUCAGAGGGGGGUAGAAUUCCACGUGUAGCAGUGAAAUGCGUAGAGAUGUGGAGGAAUACCAAUGGCGAAGGCAGCCCCCUGGGAUAACACUGACGCUCAUGCACGAA